AUACGUAGGUCCCGAGCGUUAUCCGGAAUUACUGGGCGUAAAGGGUUCGUAGGCGGAUUCCUAAGUUCGGCGUGAAAUGCCGGGGCUCAACCCCGCGCGUGGUGCCGGAUACUGGGAGUCUAGGAUGGGGGAGGGGCAAGCGGAAUGGUACGAGUAGGGGUGCAAUCCGUUGAUACGUACCGGAACACCGAAAGCGAAGGCAGCUUGCUGGAACCCGAUCGACGCUGAUGAACGAAAGCGUGGGGAGCGAAAAGGAUUAGAUACCCUUGUAGUCCACGCCCUAAACGAUGGACGCUGAGUGUCGGGGUUCGUCCCCGGUGCUUCAAACUAACGCGUUAAGCGUCCCGCCUGAGGAGUACGGUCGCAAGAUUAAAACUCAAAUGAAUUGACGGGG
RNAcentral lists this ribosomal RNA (394 nucleotides) under uncultured bacterium. Its description in RNAcentral is "partial 16S ribosomal RNA". It matches the Rfam family "Bacterial small subunit ribosomal RNA", at positions 523 to 918 of the family's 1533-position model. The record is from RNAcentral.